Molecule: ribosomal RNA, 1547 nt
Filed under: soil metagenome
Description: bacterial LSU rRNA
Rfam family: Bacterial large subunit ribosomal RNA
Source: RNAcentral
CACCAGGGUUGAAAACCUGGGGGAUGAUCUGUGGGUAGGGGUGAAAGGCCAAUCAGACUCCGUGAUAGCUGGUUCUCCCCGAAAUGCAUUUAGGUGCAGCGUCGCGUGUUUCUUUCCGGAGGUAGAGCUACUGGAUGGCCGAGGGGCCCGACAAGGUUACCGAAGUCAGCCAAACUCCGAAUGCCGGGAAGGUCAGCGCGGCAGUGAGACUGCGGGGGAUAAGCUUCGUAGUCGAGAGGGAAACAGCCCAGAUCGCCGGUUAAGGCCCCUAAGCGUGUGCUCAGUGGUAAAGGAUGUGGAGUUGCACAGACAGCCAGGAGGUUGGCUUAGAAGCAGCCAUCCUUGAAAGAGUGCGUAAUAGCUCACUGGUCAAGUGAUUCCGCGCCGACAAUGUAGCGGGGCUCAAGCACACCGCCGAAGCCGUGGCACUCCCAUUUUCACGCGCCCUGUGAGGGGUGUGUGCCUCAGCCCGUUCCCGGGUUCGCCUCGGGGUGGGUUUAGGGGGUGGGGGUGGGUAGGGGAGCGUCCUGCAGCCGGGGAAGCCGCCGUGUGAGCGAGCGGUGGAGGCUGCGGGAGUGAGAAUGCAGGCAUGAGUAGCGAUUCGAGGGUGGGAAACCCUCGCGCCGGAUGACCAAGGGUUCCUGGGGCAGGCUGAUCCGCCCAGGGUAAGUCGGGGCCUAAGGCGAGGCCGAUGGGCGUAGUCGAUGGAUAACGGGUUGAUAUUCCCGUACCCGCUGGUAUGCGCCAACGCUGAAUCUCCGGAGACUAACCACACGAUCCGUGCGUGACCUUGCCUUCGGGUGGGGCGGGCGCGGGGGUUUGUGGGACCUGAUGGGGUAGUAGGUGAGUGAUGGGGUGACGCAGGAGGGUAGCUCAGCCCAGGCGAUGGUGGUCCUGGGGUAAGCAUGUAGCCCGCGUGACAGGCAAAUCCGUCGCGUAGCAGCUUCAGUGCUGCAGGGGUGAGGUGUGAUGCCGAGCCGUAGUGAGGCGAAGUGAGUGAUCCCAUGCUGCCGAGAAAAGCCUCUAGCGAGUGUGUCGGCGGCCCGUACCCUAAACCGACUCAGGUGGUCAGGUAGAGAAUACCAAGGCGUUCGGGUGAACUGUGGUUAAGGAACUCGGCAAAUUGCCUCCGUAACUUCGGGAUAAGGAGGGCCAUUCCUGGUGAACGCCCUUGCGGUGGGAGCUGGGGGUGGUCGCAGUGGCCAGGGGGUAGCGACUGUUUACUAAAAACACAGGUCCAUGCGAAGCCGUAAGGCGCUGUAUAUGGACUGACGCCUGCCCGGUGCCGGAACGUUAACAGGACCGCUCAACCCUCCUUUGGGGGGUGAAGGUGAGAAUGUAAGCGCCGGUAAACGGCGGUGGUAACUAUAACCAUCCUAAGGUAGCGAAAUUCCUUGUCGGGUAAGUUCCGACCUGCACGAAUGGCGUAACGACUUCCCCGCUGUCUCAACCACAGGCCCGGUGAAAUUGCAGUACGAGUAAAGAUGCUCGUUACGCGCAGCAGGACGGAAAGACCCCGGGACCUUCACUGCAGCUUGGCAUUGGCG